RNAcentral lists this unclassified non-coding RNA (851 nucleotides) under Hevea brasiliensis (rubber tree). Lineage: Eukaryota; Viridiplantae; Streptophyta; Magnoliopsida; Malpighiales; Euphorbiaceae. The record is from RNAcentral.
UCAUCAAUCCAUUCCACCUAACUUGACUUAACACUCUUUUAUUAUCUUUCUCUAUUGCUUGCACUCUUUAAUGAUUGAAUCAAUCACUACGUUUUAAUAUUCUUUUCACCUUUCUUGCAUUAGUGAACUUCCCUCCCAAUUUCACUAUAAAGGCGGAAACCAACUAAGGCGACCGUCAAGCUAGUCUCAUCUCCUUCUCAUUUUUCACCAUGAAUUCUCAGGGUGUAGCAGUUCUAAUCAUGUCUGCUCUUGUACUUCCUCUUUUACUUGCACCAGCUUCGGAGGCUGCUGUUUCAUGCAGUGAUGUGCUCAAGGACCUGAGACCUUGUGUGAAAUACCUAACGAACGGAAGUGGGGCACCACCUGCAGCUUGCUGUACAGGAGCCUCAGCUCUUGCAUCUGCUGCAACAAACACUGCUGAUAAGAGGGCUGCUUGUGCCUGCAUCAAGACAGCUGCCCAGAAAAUAAAUCCAAAUGCUCAAUUAGCCCAAGCUCUUCCAGCCAACUGUGGGAUCAGCUUUCCUUACACUGUCUCACCCAACGUGGAUUGCUCCAAGAUUACUUAAAAUUGAAGUGGUCUGCCCGAUGCCUCGUCCGUAUUGCUUGUUAAGUUUCAGGGAACGCUAAGAGAGAACAAUACUACUAGACUAUAUAUCUUUGUACGGGAAAGCUUAUCUUAUCCUAAUAAGCUGGAAUGUCUACUAGCUAGGACAUCUCCAGUAAAUAAAGCUUAAUAAAGUGUGCUUGGUUUACGUUGUCCCUGAUCAAAUAAUUAUCCCUUUCUUUUUUGCCCAUUUGGCUCGCCUGUUACCAAGAUUCAAACUCGAUAUACAACUCCAGUUAAGUAUUCG